CAAAAUUUCGGGUUGCAGUAGGUCUUGAAACCAUAAAAAAUGGCUGCCGUUACCAUGGAAACGGAACAAUUGUGAAAAAUUCCAGUUUUUGGUUUUAAUGAAUUAUUUGGAGUUGCUUUAACUUAGAAUCACUAUAUUUUGAUACAAUAUAGGUGCCGGGCAUAUACUGGUUUUGGAUGAUUUUGGCAAUCAUUGGAACUAUCAUGUUGCCAUGGAAACUACACCAAAAAAUUCCAAAAUAUCAAAAUGCUCCAAAUUUAAUAAAACUCCACAGUUACGAUGAGCAACAUUCGU
This 294-nucleotide long non-coding RNA is filed under the name Mytilus galloprovincialis (Mediterranean mussel). Lineage: Eukaryota; Metazoa; Mollusca; Bivalvia; Mytilida; Mytilidae. The record is from RNAcentral.